GUGGAGUUCACCUUGCAAGAAUGACAGCACUUGGAUGUUGUUCAGCAAAACCUGUACAGAGAUGUGAUGCUGGAGAACUACAGCAGCCUGAUAUUCUUGGGUGAAUUACACUCCUGUGAAGAAAAAUAGCACCAGUAAAUAAUGAAUCAGCCAAUUCAUUUCCAGCUGCUAAUGGCCCAGAAGCCCAAUCAUCCGUAGCUAGGAUCCACAUAUGAGGG
This is a long non-coding RNA of Jaculus jaculus (lesser Egyptian jerboa), 218 nucleotides long. RefSeq lists it as uncharacterized. Lineage: Eukaryota; Metazoa; Chordata; Mammalia; Rodentia; Dipodidae. The transcript has 3 exons. The record is from RefSeq and is a predicted model, not a curated record.